RNAcentral lists this ribosomal RNA (497 nucleotides) under uncultured bacterium. RNAcentral's name for it is "partial 16S ribosomal RNA". It matches the Rfam family "Bacterial small subunit ribosomal RNA", at positions 28 to 507 of the family's 1533-position model. The record is from RNAcentral.
GAUGAACGCUGGCGGCGUGCCUAAUACAUGCAAGUCGAGCGAACAGACGAGGAGCUUGCUCCUCUGACGUUAGCGGCGGACGGGUGAGUAACACGUGGAUAACCUACCUAUAAGACUGGGAUAACUUCGGGAAACCGGAGCUAAUACCGGAUAAUAUAUUGAACCGCAUGGUUCAAUAGUGAAAGACGGUUUUGCUGUCACUUAUAGAUGGAUCCGCGCCGCAUUAGCUAGUUGGUAAGGUAACGGCUUACCAAGGCAACGAUGCGUAGCCGACCUGAGAGGGUGAUCGGCCACACUGGAACUGAGACACGGUCCAGACUCCUACGGGAGGCAGCAGUGGGGAAUCUUCCGCAAUGGGCGAAAGCUUGACGGAGCAACGCCGCGUGAGUGAUGAAGGUCUUCGGAUCGUAAAACUCUGUUAGUAGGGAAGAACAAAUGUAUAAGUAACUAUGCCCGUCUUGACGGUACCUAAUCAGAAAGCCACGGCUAACUACGUG